This 372-nucleotide ribosomal RNA is filed under the name uncultured organism. Its description in RNAcentral is "partial 16S ribosomal RNA". It matches the Rfam family "Bacterial small subunit ribosomal RNA", at positions 527 to 896 of the family's 1533-position model. The record is from RNAcentral.
GUAGGGUCCAAGCGUUAAUCGGGAAUUACUGGGGCGUAAAGCGUGCGCAGGCGGUUGUGCAAGACCGAUGUGAAAUCCCCGAGCUUAACUUGGGAAUUGCAUUGGUGACUGCACGGCUAGAGUGUGUCAGAGGGGGGUAGAAUUCCACGUGUAGCAGUGAAAUGCGUAGAGAUGUGGAGGAAUACCGAUGGCGAAGGCAGCCCCCUGGGAUAACACUGACGCUCAUGCACGAAAGCGUGGGGAGCAAACAGGAUUAGAUACCCUGGUAGUCCACGCCCUAAACGAUGUCAACUAGUUGUUGGGGAUUCAUUUCCUUAGUAACGUAGCUAACGCGUGAAGUUGACCGCCUGGGGAGUACGGUCGCAAAGAUUA